GAUGGUUUGGCCGAGUGGUCUAAGGCGCCAGAUUUAGGCUCUGGUUCGAAAGGGCGGGGGUUCAAAUCCCACAGCCGUCA
RNAcentral lists this transfer RNA (80 nucleotides) under Ipomoea nil (Japanese morning glory). It matches the Rfam family "tRNA". Rfam says of the family: Transfer RNA (tRNA) molecules are approximately 80 nucleotides in length. Lineage: Eukaryota; Viridiplantae; Streptophyta; Magnoliopsida; Solanales; Convolvulaceae. The record is from Rfam by way of RNAcentral.